GAUGAACGCUGGCGGCGUGCCUAAUACAUGCAAGUCGAGCGAAUGGAUUAAGAGCUUGCUCUUAUGAAGUUAGCGGCGGACGGGUGAGUAACACGUGGGUAACCUGCCCAUAAGACUGGGAUAACUCCGGGAAACCGGGGCUAAUACCGGAUAACAUUUUGAACCGCAUGGUUCGAAAUUGAAAGGCGGCUUCGGCUGUCACUUAUGGAUGGACCCGCGUCGCAUUAGCUAGUUGGUGAGGUAACGGCUCACCAAGGCAACGAUGCGUGGCCGAACUGGGAGGGUGAUCGGCCACACUGGGACUGAGACACGGCCCAGACUCCUACGGGAGGCAGCAGUAGGGAAUCUUCCGCAAUGGACGAAAGUCUGACGGAGCAACGCCGCGUGAGUGAUGAAGGCUUUCGGGUCGUAAAACUCUGUUGUUAGGGAAGAACAAGUGCUAGUUGAAUAAGCUGGCACCUUGACGGUGCCUAACCAGAAAGCCACGGCUAACUACGUGCCAGCCGCCGCCGUAA
RNAcentral lists this ribosomal RNA (515 nucleotides) under uncultured bacterium. RNAcentral describes it as "partial 16S ribosomal RNA". It matches the Rfam family "Bacterial small subunit ribosomal RNA", at positions 28 to 523 of the family's 1533-position model. The record is from RNAcentral.